Molecule: ribosomal RNA, 252 nt
Filed under: uncultured bacterium
Lineage: Bacteria
Description: partial 16S ribosomal RNA
Rfam family: Bacterial small subunit ribosomal RNA
Source: RNAcentral
CACGUAGGGGGCAAGCGUUGUCCGGAAUUAUUGGGCGUAAAGAGCUCGUAGGCGGCUCGGUAAGUCAUGUGUCAAAUCUUCAGGCUCAACCUGGAGCUCCACCUGAUACUGCUGUGGCUAGAGUCCGGUAGGGGAGCGUGGAAUUCCUGGUGUAGCGGUGAAAUGCGCAGAUAUCAGGAGGAACACAGCGGCGAAGGCGGCGCUCUGGGCCGGAACUGACGCUGAGGAGCGAAAGCGUGGGUAGCAAACAGG